RNAcentral lists this unclassified non-coding RNA (332 nucleotides) under soil metagenome. RNAcentral describes it as "partial contains 5.8S ribosomal RNA, internal transcribed spacer 2, and large subunit ribosomal RNA". The stretch from base 1 to 120 matches the Rfam family "5.8S ribosomal RNA", at positions 35 to 154 of the family's 154-position model. The record is from RNAcentral.
GAUGAAGAACGUAGCGAAAUGCGAUAAGUAGUGUGAAUUGCAGAAUUCAUUGAAUCAUCGAAUCUUUGAACGCACAUUGCGCCCUUUGGUAUUCCUUAGGGCAUGCCUGUUCGAGCGUCAUUUAAACCUUCAAGCUAAGCUUGGUGUUGGGUGACUGUCCGCUUCACGGCGGACUCGCCUCAAAAUUAUUGGCGGCCGGUACAUUGGCUUCGAGCGCAGCAGAAACGCGAACUCGGGCCCGUCGUAUUGGCUCCCAGAAGCUAUCUUCACAAUUUUGACCUCGGAUCAGGUAGGGAUACCCGCUGAACUUAAGCAUAUCAAUAAGCGGAGGA